RNAcentral lists this ribosomal RNA (451 nucleotides) under uncultured bacterium. Its description in RNAcentral is "partial 16S ribosomal RNA". It matches the Rfam family "Bacterial small subunit ribosomal RNA", at positions 29 to 523 of the family's 1533-position model. The record is from RNAcentral.
AACGAACGCUGGCGGCAGGCUCAACACAUGCAAGUCGAACGGACGUAGCAAUACAGCAGUGGCAGACGGGUGGGUAACACGUGGGAACCUUCCUAGGGGUACGGAACAACUCAGGGAAACUUGAGCUAAUACCGUAUACGUCCGUGAGGAGAAAGAUUUAUCGCCCUUAGACGGGCCCGCGUAGGAUUAGGUAGUUGGUGGGGUAAUGGCCUACCAAGCCUACGAUCCUUAGCUGAUCUGAGAGGAUGAUCAGCCACACUGGGACUGAGACACGGCCCAGACUCCUACGGGAGGCAGCAGUGGGGAAUCUUGGACAAUGGGCGCAAGCCUGAUCCAGCCAUGCCGCGUGAGUGAAGAAGGCCUUCGGGUUGUAAAGCUCUUUUACCAGGGACGAUAAUGACGGUACCUGGAGAAUAAGCCCCGGCAAACUUCGUGCCAGCCGCCGCCGUAA